This is a long non-coding RNA of Podarcis raffonei (Aeolian wall lizard), 619 nucleotides long. RefSeq lists it as uncharacterized. Lineage: Eukaryota; Metazoa; Chordata; Lepidosauria; Squamata; Lacertidae. The record is from RefSeq and is a predicted model, not a curated record. The transcript has 2 exons.
CAAAGCAAAGGGGUGGGGUGGGUGGCAGGCAGGCUGGGUAACGUGACUGCGACUAGAGGUGUGUUGUUAGACAAAUCUCUCCCUGCCUUCCCACAGCAGAGGUAUCACGUUAACGGUUUGUGGUAGGAACCUACUACAAUUAGGAAAAGGGGAGUCAGUGACCACUUAAUCCUCACUCAAAGGAGCUAAGUAAGGAUUAGACACUCUCAGAACAAAACUAGAACUUUUAUUGGUUUACACUCAGUAAGGUUCUAGCUUUGUGGUUACAUUUCUGAAAGGCACAACACUUUAUCUUCCAUAAUUUCAUGCUGCAAAUCUGUCACUGGACAGUUAAAUUAUUUGUAGGACGGCUGUUGUCUUACAUUACCUGGAAAAUACUCCUAGCCCCUUCUGGAAUCCUAACCUUCCCCUUGGUAGACAGAACCUUCUCUGCCCACAGACAAUCCCUAUCUGUAUCUGAAAGCCCAUUCACUCUGACAGACAGACCUUUCUGAGUCUAUUCAAAUAGCCAGAGACACCUUUCCACCCAGACAGACAGAAAGUCCCUCUCUCUAAUCCCAGGUUCCUGUCUAACCCACAGGCAGUUCCUGUCUGGCUCUUAAACUGAUGGCAGUUAAAA